UUGAGCUUAGUGGGAGAGUAUUCGCCCGCGGCGCGAUAUCUUUUUUUAGAUAUUAAACGAGCUUCCGUUUCAUAUUAAAUUUAUAUUCCGAGUGAAGUAAUUUUCAGCGUCAUGAGCUUUAGCGAAUGACAAUAAAAAUUAUUCGAUGACGUAAAUCGCUGUUGACUUUGUGGAAGCCAUUCGACGUCAUCAUGGCGCUGUGUUCGUUGUAUCUUCGUUGAAUCAGCUUCCGAUUAAUCAAGACGAUAAUGGAUACUACAAAGCACGUCAUCGUUUUGUUCGUUCCUUAAAAAAAAAAAAUCAUAAAGAAACUGAUGCAAAAGUCAUCAAAAAUCAAACAAAUUAAGAGCAACUUUAUUGGGACAGUCAGAAAAUAAAUUUUAAUUCUCUCUUU
This is a long non-coding RNA of Gigantopelta aegis, 394 nucleotides long. RefSeq lists it as uncharacterized. The transcript is spliced from 2 exons. The record is from RefSeq and is a predicted model, not a curated record. NCBI's taxonomy places the organism in Eukaryota, Metazoa, Mollusca, Gastropoda, Neomphalida, Peltospiridae.